GUAGGGUGCGAGCGUUAAUCGGAAUUACUGGGCGUAAAGCGUGCGCAGGCGGAUUGUUAAGCAAGACGUGAAAUCCCCGGGCUUAACCUGGGAAUGGCGUUUUGAACUGGCAGUCUAGAGUGUGUCAGAGGGGGGUGGAAUUCCACGUGUAGCAGUGAAAUGCGUAGAGAUGUGGAGGAACACCAAUGGCGAAGGCAGUCCCCUGGGCCUGUACUGACGCUCAUGCACGAAAGCGUGGGGAGCAAACAGGAUUAGAUACCCUGGUAGUCCACGCCCUAAACGAUGUCAACUGGUUGUUGGGGGAGUGAAAUCCCUUAGUAACGAAGCUAACGCGUGAAGUUGACCGCCUGGGGAGUACGGUCGCAAGAUUA
RNAcentral lists this ribosomal RNA (371 nucleotides) under uncultured bacterium. RNAcentral describes it as "bacterial SSU rRNA". It matches the Rfam family "Bacterial small subunit ribosomal RNA", at positions 527 to 896 of the family's 1533-position model. The record is from RNAcentral.